This 7027-nucleotide long non-coding RNA is filed under the name Fragaria vesca (wild strawberry). RNAcentral's name for it is "long non-coding RNA (FVES_LNC000780)". The stretch from base 6041 to 6235 matches the Rfam family "U2 spliceosomal RNA". The record is from RNAcentral. Lineage: Eukaryota; Viridiplantae; Streptophyta; Magnoliopsida; Rosales; Rosaceae.
AAGUUUAAAACAAAGGAAAGAGUCGGUUAUAUAUGUAUGUUAUCUUCAGAUUAUAACAUGAGCAGCAAGCCUGCUUCUCAUUUUGUGUCUGUGGGCUUCUCGAUCACUUCUCAAUGUCACACACACACACACACACACAUAUAUAUGUAUAUGUGUGUGUGUAAUCUAUAUCUUCUUCUUUCCAGCCGUUAAUGCAGAUGGAAUCCCAGAAUUCUCUAUUUUUAAGAGGCUAAGAUGGUGUAGGCUACCAUUUAAUCUUAAUAUGGGUCGACUAUAUUAAUAAAGAGUGGUCGAUUCAUAACUAACUGAAAUAAUUCGCUGUCCCACAUCGGUUCGUUAGCAAACAAUGGAAGCCCAAGAGAAUAUAAAAGGCGAAGCACGAGACUGAAAGAAGCAUACCUUUCUCGGCCUUUUGGCUAAGAUCAAGUGUAGUAUCUGUUCUUAUCAGUUUAAUAUUUGAUAUGUGGGCCAAUGGUCCACACGAUAUUAAAUUAAUUUUUUAAAAGGGAGGGUUCACCGCAGUAGCUUGCUACUGGGGCUCUCACGUGUCAUCUUUGCGUUGCACUACAGCAAGGUUUGGCGCACCUUACCAAAUCCAGUUCUAAAUUUAUAUAAUUUCGAAAUAGCAAGUAAAUUUAGUUUUUGUUCAUUUUGCUAUUGGUUUUCUUUCUCAAUAAAAGAGAAGGAACUGUAGUGGUUUCUGCAAGAUUGGGGUGUGGGGGGGGGGUCUCGAUUAUUUCGUUCUAGGGAGUAAUUGUGGAACCAAAUAUGUUGGUAUUAUCACGGGAUUGUGGAUGUGAGAGGUCGAGUUAGCAAUGAAAGGACAAGGGAAUGUGAAAUGUGUUUCUUGGGAUGUAGGUGAUGACAGACAAAUCAAAACUGUUCUUGAAGGCCUCUAUUGUUCAGGAUACCUACUGGCUACUGGUUAAAUUAGAAAAAAAAAAAAAAAAAAACCAGAAGUUAUAUACUGGUGUUAUUUGUGCGUUCAUUGUGUAUUUUUUUUUCGUGGUAUACAACAAGAAACUGAUCAAUUUCUUACCGAGUCAGCCUGGAAGUGAACUGGGGGAGAAAACUGAAAAUUAAGUACGACACCUGAUCGAUCCACAUUUGUAAGUUGGAAAUUAGCUUUCUAGCACAGAAGCACAUGUAUAAAAAUGAAGCAGCCUUGUGUUGCUCAACUCAUGAUUCAAUACAAUCUUCGAUCCCCCUCGGAGUUAUAAAUAUGUUUUACUUUAUUAACACAGCAUUGCAACAAAAGGAGAAGGCAUGCAAAUGAAAAGUAUCGAUUUCUAAAACCCCCUCUAGGCCUUGUUUCUGUCAUGGCUGGAUUACAACUUAAAAGUAUCUAUUUCUGAACCCUUCUCUAGGCCUUGUUUCUCUCAUGGCUGUGCUUCUGAUGAGAUCCCUUAAUGCUAUUUGGCAUGAACUGUGGUAGAUAGUAGUACGCAGUAUGAAAGAAGCAAAUUUAAUACAAAUAAUUGAAGGCAGAGAACUACGUAAGAGAACUACAUGGAGGGCGCAAUGAUAGAUCGACCUUGAAUUAUUGAUCCAUGUGAAUGCUUCAUUUAGUUUCAUGUUCGGGUUAUCUUGCGCUAUCCUUCGCAUAGAAUGCUUACCAAUUAAAUAACAAAGUAGCCGCAUGUGAUGCAUGGAUUGCAGUGCUUGGAAGUUGUUUAAAGGUGAUCUUCAGUGUGACGUCUGAGACAACACUUCAUGUGUCUGGUAGAAUGGUUGUAAUAUAUAGGGCUUUGAAGUUGUUUAAAGGUGAUUUCAGGCCACUGUCGUCAUCAUCUAGCCAAUAAUGAUGGUCUGGAUGCUCCUCAAAAUUCCAAGCUAGUUGCUCUCUUGACGUGACCUAUAUGCAUUCACAGACCUACACAAGCGAGGCUGAAUGAACACAAAAUCUCCAGAAUUUGAUAAGAUAAAUGCUAACAGAUAUAUUGGUUCAAGUGAUGAGAUCGAUCAGUGACCUUUGCUUUACAAAUAUCAUAUGUAAGAUCCCUAGUUGUAUAAUAGAAUACUAAGAAUAGAUACCUGAUACAGAUCUUGUUAUACAUUUUGAUAUCCAUGCCACCUUGAUAGAUUUGUGUCCUCAACAGUAAGAAAUUUUCAAGUAAAAGGUGACUGGGCAUCCAAUCUGCGCUGCUUAAGCUUUUGAAUUGUUUUGUAAUGGCUUUAAAACUAUCCCUGAUUUUUUUUUUUUUUUUCAAUUAUAAUCUGUUAUGAAAUGGACCCUCAGUCAGAAUGUAUUGUACCGCUAAUUAAUUCGAUAGCUGUUAUGUUUAAAUAAUUCUUAAACAGCUAGUAAUUCGAUCUUGAAAAAUCCCCAUGAAAAUGAUGGAUUACUCGGACUGUAUACAAAAAUAAAAAAUGGUGUGUGUAUAACUUGCCAAGAGCAUAGAACAAGCACACACACAAACACACAAUUAAAAGAGAUGGAAGAUACACAAAGAGAGCUAACUUUGGAAGAGAAAGAAAAGGAACGUGUCAAACUAGAACGGUGGAAAUAUGUGCUCCGGUUUUCGAAAAUUGCAGUGAUAAAAUGUGCCAUUGAGCUUGGAAUAAAUUGCCGUGAUAAAUUGCUGAUCCUAUUGAAAGCCAUGGAAGCCCCAUGCACUCUUACAGCAAUCGGCAACUCUCAAGUUGUAAUCCUUCUUCCCUUUACAUCAUGAGGUUCCUAGUUCACCACCAAAUAUUUAAAGAAGUCCAACCCACAAUCUCAUUAGGCCCCAAAACCUUUGUCCCAUCGCCUAGUAAAAACAUCAUGGCUGCACAGAUUUUGCUGAGAGCAGUCCGGUAAUGCUAGCACCAUGGCAUAGCCCAAGUAUUCCCCGGUUCAAGGCAAUGGCACGAGUUCUCCUGCGUUUAAGGCAGCACAUGGUGAGGAUAUAUGGAGCUUCUAAUCCCGGUCACAGGAAACUUAUCGAUGAAGCAAUGGCUUGUGAUGCUAGCUUGGGGCUGCCUGCAGUGACUGAGAGUUGUUUAGAGGGUUUUCACUGGGAUCUUCCUCAUGUUGCAUCUGUUGCUGAGGAGAGUGAUCGAGUGGAGAAUGGUCGAGGUGACAUGUUUGAUUGUAUACCAAAUUCCGUAGGCUGAUGCUGCAAUUAUCAAGGGAUUAAUUUGAUGUCCUGAAUUUCGUGUUUUAUUGUAUUAGUUGAGUUGUACUUGGUGGUUUGACUUGUUUCUCUUUGUAGUUGUGUGGACAAUAAUACAACUUCUGCGCUGAUCUCUUUCAGUUCCAGUGAUGGGAACUGAAUUGUCAAGUGAGGAUAUAAUUGUGAAAGAAGCAUAUACUGUGACGCUUUUCUGGUAGUGUUCGUUUUCAAAGAUCAAAACUUAGGCCUUGAUUGACCCAUGGCCAUCACUGUGAAACUUUCAAAGGGUUCACCUGGUUCAUAGUUUUUAUCCAGAAUGCAAUCAACAAAACCACUCGGCUAAAGUAGCUUUUAUACUUGGAAACUAUCAACAAGCUCGAUCAAGUAAUUACCUCGCACUGAGUAAAGUUGCACCAAUCAUCAACUGAAUGAACUGAUCUAGGAUCAAAAUAUAGUAUUUACAUAAUUUCGUUCAUGUAGUUGAUGUGUAAUUACUGCAUUAAUAAAUAAGACCACUUGUUACCUCUCUGAAAUGGGUAGUCUGUGGAGGAAUGACAGCAGGAAGCAAUUAGUUUAGGCUCCCACAUCGGAGCAAGAAGGAAGCUGUCAAGUAGGUGCGUUAUAAAAUGANNNNNNNNNNNNNNNNNNNNCAAAGGUUAACCUUAAAUAAUAGAAAACAUGUGCUUGUUUAUUCUGUCAAAGGAUACUUAACCACUGAUCUAUCUAGCUUCAAUUUCCAAAAUCUGCAAUAUAUUCAAGACAUAAGUUUCAGUCUAUAUUCCUAUAUAUGUAACUUUUCACUUUCUCCCUACUGACAUUGUAACCUUGUUUUAUUUGCUUUAAAGUGACAUAAUGUAAGGUACAUGAAUUUUCUUCGGUAUCCAAUUCUUCUGAUUCGCCUAUACGCAAAAAAAGAACUGCAGCAAAGCGCGGGUCUUUACACUAGUUGGAAUUUAUUUGUAAGUAAAUUUGAUCUUUGUGAAUUCUCUACAAUGCAAUACAGGUCUGUGUACAAAUAUUAUGUAUGUAUCUUGCUAAGCACACAAACACACAACAAAAAGAGAUGGAAGAUACACAAGAGCCAUCUUUGGAAGAGAAAGAAGAGGAACGUGCCAAAGUAGACGUGUAGAAAUAUGCGGUGCAUCAACAACUGGGGUCAAAUGACAAAGCGUGAAAGGUUUAUGUAGCGAUUGGAGUACAAGUAAUUGAGGGAUACAAUUAAUAAUCCCACAUCGGUGGAGAGGCAAAAGCUGUGUUGGCCAGUGGAUAUAAGAAGGGAAGCAGACAGAAAUAUUAAGCAUCUUUGCGCUUGGGGCAAUGACGCAGCUAAUGAGGUUCUAACCGAGGCGCGUCUAUUGCUGGUUGAAAACUAUUUCCAAACCCCCUCCUGGGCCUGGGUUAAUCUCAGUGCCCUCGAGAAUUUCUGGAAGGGCUCCCUCCGGGGUAAAGCUCUACAAUUCUAGUUAAAUUUUUAAAGAUCAAUAGUUAAACAAAGGUUGAUAAGAUAUUUUCCUAAGUAAAAACAGAUUAAUAUAUUUUAAAACCCUUACGAAUACUGAUGGAGCUCGUACUCUGUACAUAAUUGUGGUUUAACUGUAGAAACAUAAGGAAAAUAUUUUUGUCUGAUGCGUCGCAGACUAAAGGGUUUUCAAUGGGAUCUUCCUCAUGUUGCAUCUGUUGCUGAGGAGAGUGAUCGAGUGGAGAAUGGUCGAGGUGACAUGUUUGAUUAUAUCACAAAUUCCGUAGGCUGAUGCUGCAAUUAUCAAGGGAUUAAUUUGAUGUCCUGAAUUUCGUGUUUUAUUGUAUUAGUUGAGUUGUACUUGGUGGUUUGACUUGUUUCUCUUUGUAGUUGUGUGGACAAUAAUACAACUUCUGCGCUGAUCUCUUUGUAGUUGUAGUUUCAAAACUUAGGCCUUGAUUGACCCAUGGCCAUCACUGUGAAACUUUCAAAGGGUUCACCUGGUUCAUAGUUUUUAUCCAGAAUGCAAUCAACAAAACCACUCGGCUAAAGUAGCUUUUAUACUUGGAAACUAUCAACAAGCUCGAUCAAGUAAUUACCUCGCACUGAGUAAAGUUGCACCAAUCAUCAACUGAAUGAACUGAUCUAGGAUCAAAAUAUAGUAUUUACAUAAUUUCGUUCAUGUAGUUGAUGUGUAAUUACUGCAUUAAUAAAUAAGACCACUUGUUACCUCUCUGAAAUGGGUAGUCUGUGGAGGAAUGACAGCAGGAAGCAAUUAGUUUAGGCUCCCACAUCGGAGCAAGAAGGAAGCUGUCAAGUAGGUGCGUUAUAAAAUGAAGCAUCUUGACCGAUGUAAAUUCACGGAGCCAUGCGUUGAGCACAUAGCGAACUAUUCUNNNNNNNNNNNNNNNNNNNNNNNNNNNNNNNNNNNNNNNNNNNNNNNNNNNNNNNNNNNNNNNNNNNNNNNNNNNNNNNNNNNNNNNNNNNNNAAAGCUGAGUAGCUGACAUUCUUACUGCUGACUUUAAUUUAGAUAUAAAUAUCUACAGCUAAACACAAUUCCUCCAGUGUUCCUUCCUUCGGCUGGUAUUCGAUGAAUAUGGGUUAAAGCCAUGAACUCUGUAUUAAUAGAUUACUAAACUGUAGCUGUUUGAAACAAGUGAUAGAGUCGGUUAUUUAUGUAGGUUAUCUUCUAAAUUCUGAUCAUAACAUGAGCAGCAAGCUUGUUUCUCACUCUGUAUGUGGGAUUCUCACAUCUCAAUGUCGUACAUAUAUCUUCUUCUUAACAGCUGUUAAUGCAGAUUCCAGCUCUGAAUUUUAUAUCGUUUAUGAGGGUGAGAUUGUGUCUUACACCAUUUAGUGUUAAUGUGCAUCGAUUGUGUUAAGAAGAGUGGGUAACAGGAAUAGCUCAUAGUCCCACAUUGGCAUUGUUGUGAAGUAUGAAAGCCCAAGAGAAUAUAAAAGGCGAAGCACGAGACUGAAAGAAGCAUACCUUUCUCGGCCUUUUGGCUAAGAUCAAGUGUAGUAUCUGUUCUUAUCAGUUUAAUAUCUGAUAUGUGGGCUAAUGGUCCACACGAUAUUAAAUUAAUUUUUUAAAGGGGAGGGUUCGCAACAGUAGCUUGCUACUGGGGCUCUCACGUGUCAUCUUUGCGUUGCACUACAGCAAGGUUUGGCGCACCCUACCAAUAUCAGUUUCAAUCUUUAUUUUUCCUUAAAAUCUAAAUUGUUGUACCUGUGUAAUUUCUGUCCUUGGUGUCCUUCCUUAAAAUCUUGAUCGUCUUAUUGUCUGUGUGUCCUGCCCUGUAUAAUUUAUGCCUAAUAUCGUCUGUAAAGUCUUUAGAAGACUUCGACCUCUGUUUUCAUUUGUAGUAAAUGAUCAAUUUUUUGACCUGGAAUGGAAUUAUGUUUCAUAGACCUAUGAGGGAACCUUGAGUUCCGCAUGAUUAGGUAGGCGAGGAGUGUUGGUGUAUCGUGUACUGAAGAAUUUAGGGAAGCGAUUCCUGUUCCACAAUUAUUGUAGACGAUGAGAGAUCAAACGAGAUAAGCUUAGCUAAUGUAUGAGAAGUUGAUUACUAAGGCAAAGAAAGGACACUCGAGGGUAUGUGAAUAUGUUCUUGGGAAGCAGGUGACAGACAAUGUCAAACCUGUUCUUGAGGGCUUUCAAUAACAGUUAUUACCUGUUAUUUUACUACUAUUGCUGCAUCAAAUGACCUGAUUUGAAAUGUGAAGUUAUCUGCUGCAUGUUCUUAAUCGUGUUUUCUUGUAGCAUUUUGCAGUGAUGACUACCAGUACGUACUGUUAUCUUUCAUCUAGAAACUAAGCAUAUGGAUCAACUAUUGUUUGGGAGCUCAUCAGCUUGAAGUCUACUUGUGUUCUAAUAGAAAAGUAUAUUAACAUAGUAAAUCUGAGUUGGCUAAACAAAUAGUAGCUGGUAGAGGAUCUUUCAGAAACCUCGAAGUCUCAACAUAUGCUUNN